This 2857-nucleotide ribosomal RNA is filed under the name marine metagenome. Its description in RNAcentral is "bacterial LSU rRNA". It matches the Rfam family "Bacterial large subunit ribosomal RNA". The record is from RNAcentral.
UCAAGCGCGAGAAGGGCGUUUGGUGAAUGCCUUGGCAGUAAGAGGCGAUGAAGGACGUGAUACUCUGCGAUAAGCUAUGGUUAGCCGAGAAUAGGCUUUGAUCCAUGGAUUUCCGAAUGGGGCAACCCACCUGAUUAUAUUCUGUUAUUAUCUAGCUUCGGUUAGAUAGUUAUCAGGGUGUAAAACCAGGUACUUAUAGACUGAAUACAUAGGUUUAUAAGAGCAAACCCGGGGAACUGAAACAUCUAAGUACCCGGAGGAAAGGACAUCAAUUGAUACUCCCCUAGUAGCGGCGAGCGAACGGGGACCAGCCGAGCCUUGAAUGUGAUUAGAAUGGUCUGGAAUGGCCAACCAUAGUGGGUGACAGUCCCGUAUAAGAAGCACGAUAGGACGUAUUAAGUAGGGCGGAACACGUGAAAUUCUGUCUGAAGAUCGGAGGACCACCUUCGAAGGCUAAGUACUCCUUACUGACCGAUAGUGAACCAGUACCGUGAGGGAAAGGUGAAAAGCACCCCGACGAGGGGAGUGAAACAGUACCUGAAACCGAACGCCUACAAUCAGUUGGAGCGCCCUUGCGGCCUGACAGCGUACCUUUUGUAUAAUGGGUCAUCGACUUGGUCUAUCUAGCAAGCUUAAGCCGUUAGGUGUAGGCGCAGCGAAAGCGAGUCUUAAUAGGGCGAAUGAGUUAGAUGGAUCAGACCCGAAACCGAGUGAUCUAGGCAUGGCCAGGUUGAAGAUACGGUAACACUUAUUGGAGGACCGAACCCACAUCCGUUGAAAAGGAUCGGGAUGAGCUGUGCCUAGGGGUGAAAGGCCAAUCAAACUCGGAGAUAGCUGGUUCUCCGCGAAAUCUAUUUAGGUAGAGCGUCAUCCGAAUACCCCGGGGGGUAGAGCACUGGAUGGGUAAUGGGGCCCCACAGGCUUACUGAUCCUAACCAAACUCCGAAUACCCGGGAGUAAUAGAUGGCAGACACACUGCGGGUGCUAACGCCCGUAGUGAAAAGGGAAACAACCCUGACCGACAGUUAAGGCCCCUAAUUCAUGGCUAAGUGGGAAAGCAGGUGGGACGACCAAAACAACCAGGAAGUUGGCUUAGAAGCAGCCAUCUUUUAAAGAUAGCGUAACAGCUCACUGGUCUAAUUAAGUUGUCCUGCGGCGAAGAUGUAACGGGGCUCAAGCCAUGAGCCGAAACUUCGGAUGCAUUUAAUGCAUGGUAGCGGAGCGUAGUGUGACAUAGUUCCAUGCGUCCUUCGUUUUAUAGCGGACUGCCCAGGCUUUCGAGCCUGUGUGGAGGCGCGUAAAAUACUGGACGCAAGGAGCUUUCUGUGAAGCCGGCCUGUGAGGGAUCCGGUGGAGAGAUCACUAGUGAGAAUGAUGACAUGAGUAACGACAAAGGGGGUGAGAGACCCCCUCGCCGAAAAUCCAAGGGUUCCUGCUUAAAGCUAAUCUGAGCAGGGUAAGCCGGCCCCUAAGCCGAGGGCGAAAGCCGUAGGCGAUGGGAACCAGGUUAAUAUUCCUGGGCCAGGAGGAAGUGACGGAUCACAAAGAUUGUUGGAUCAGGCGUAGUUGCCCCAGCAGUUCAGUGGUUCCUGGAAAUAGCCCUCCAUCAGACCGUACCCUAAACCGACACAGGUGGAUAGGUAGAGUAUACCAAGGCGCUUGAGAGAACUAUGUUGAAGGAACUCGGCAAAAUACCUCCGUAAGUUCGCGAGAAGGAGGCCCGGUUUCUAGGCAACUGGAAGCUGGGGGCACAAACCAGGGGGUGGCGACUGUUUACUAAAAACACAGGGCUCUGCGAAGUCGCAAGACGACGUAUAGGGUCUGACGCCUGCCCGGUGCCUGAAGGUUAAAAGGAGGGGUGAGAGCUCCGAAUUGAAGCCCAGGUAAACGGCGGCCGUAACUAUAACGGUCCUAAGGUAGCGAAAUUCCUUGUCGGGUAAGUUCCGACCUGCACGAAUGGCGUAACGACUUCCCCGCUGUCUCCAACAUAAACUCAGUGAAUUUGAAAUAUCCGUGAAGAUGCGGAUUAGCUAUAGGUAGACGGAAAGACCCCGUGAACCUUUACUACAUCUUUGUAUUGUAAUUUUUUAAAAUAUGUGUAGGAUAGGUGGUAAUUUAAUAUUUAUAUUAAAUGUCCUUGAAAUACCACUCUUAUUUUAAAUAAUCACUCAUUCUAAAACAUAAGAAGACAGUGCAUGGUUGGUAGUUUGACUGGGGCGGUCACCUCCUAAAAAGUAACGGAGGCGUACAAAGGUAAGCUCAAACUGAUAUUAACAGUUGUAGAGUAUAAUGGUAUAAGUUUGCUUGACUGUUAGAUAGACAUAUCAAACAGGGACGAAAGUCGGUCAUAGUGAUCCGGUAAUUCUAUGUGGAAAGAUUAUCGCUCAACGGAUAAAAGGUACUCCGGGGAUAACAGGCUAAUGACUCUUAAGAGCUCCUAUCGACGGAGUUGUUUGGCACCUCGAUGUCGACUCAUCACAUCCUGGAGCUGAAGAAGGUUCCAAGGGUUCGGCUGUUCGCCGAUUAAAGUGGUACGUGAGUUGGGUUUAGAACGUCGUGAGACAGUUUGGUUCCUAUCUUCUAUAGCCAUUUGGAAAAAUGAGAGAAUCUAACUCUAGUACGAGAGGACCGAGAAGGAUAAACCUCUGAUGUAUUGGUUGUUGUUUAUAUUUAUAUAAAUGGCAUUGCCAAGUAGUUAAGUUUAUUUUAGAUAAUUACUGAAAGCAUCUAAGUAAGAAACUAUUCUCAAGAUAUUUUUCUUUUAAAAUUGUGGACGAUAACCACUUUGAUAGGUUUUAAGUGUAAGUGUUGUAAAAUAUUUAGCUUAGAAAUACUAAAAAUUUUAAUAUCUAUUUUU